RNAcentral lists this transfer RNA (86 nucleotides) under Bacteroidota bacterium. RNAcentral's name for it is "tRNA-Leu". It matches the Rfam family "tRNA". From Rfam's summary of the family: Transfer RNA (tRNA) molecules are approximately 80 nucleotides in length. Their secondary structure includes four short double-helical elements and three loops (D, anti-codon, and T loops). RNAcentral also lists the same sequence under 2 other names. The record is from RNAcentral. Lineage: Bacteria; Pseudomonadati; Bacteroidota.
ACCCGGGUGGUGGAACUGGUAGACACGCAGGACUUAAAAUCCUGUCUUCAGCAAUGGAGGUGUGGGUUCAACUCCCAUCCCGGGUA